This 433-nucleotide ribosomal RNA is filed under the name uncultured bacterium. Its description in RNAcentral is "partial 16S ribosomal RNA". It matches the Rfam family "Bacterial small subunit ribosomal RNA", at positions 29 to 507 of the family's 1533-position model. The record is from RNAcentral.
AACGAACGCUGGCGGCAUGCCUAACACAUGCAAGUCGAACGAGACCUUCGGGUCUAGUUGCGCAGGGGUGCGUAACGCGUGGGAACCUGCCCUUAGGCUCGGAAUAACUCCCCGAAAGGGGUGCUAAUACCGGAUCAUGUCUUCCGACCAAAGAUUUAUCGCCUUUGGAUGGGCCCGCGUUGGAUUAGCUAGUUGGUAGGGUAAAAGCCUACCAAGGCGUCGAUCCAUAGCUGGUCUGAGAGGAUGAUCAGCCACACUGGGACUGAGACACGGCCCAGACUCCUACGGGAGGCAGCAGUGGGGAAUAUUGGACGAUGGGCGAAAGCCUGAUCCAGCAAUGCCGCGUGAGUGAUGAAUGCCUUAGGAUUGUAAAGCUCUUUUGCCCGGGAUGAUAAUGACAGUACCGGGAGAAUAAGCUCCGGCUAACUCCGUG